Molecule: transfer RNA, 70 nt
Filed under: Caesio cuning (redbelly yellowtail fusilier)
Lineage: Eukaryota; Metazoa; Chordata; Actinopteri; Lutjaniformes; Lutjanidae
Also listed under: 17 other names
Description: tRNA-Pro
Rfam family: tRNA
About the family: Transfer RNA (tRNA) molecules are approximately 80 nucleotides in length.
Source: RNAcentral
CAAAGAGUAGUUUAGCUUAGAAUACUAGCUUUGGGAGUUAGUGGUGAGGGUUAAAAUCCCUUCUCUUUGA